Molecule: small RNA, 266 nt
Filed under: Arabidopsis thaliana (thale cress)
Lineage: Eukaryota; Viridiplantae; Streptophyta; Magnoliopsida; Brassicales; Brassicaceae
Description: ATSL053360
Source: RNAcentral
AAAUAUAAAUUGAUUACUAACAAAACUACAUGUGUAUCUUUGUUGCUCAGACUGUCCCUUAAAUAAGGGUUUUUAGAACCCCUCUCUCAUUUUUCUCUUCUUUUUUCAUUAUUUUCCUUUUAUUAUUGGAAGAACAUAAUUAAUAGAGACCACCGUUGCAGAUGCUCUAAUAUACAUUAUGUUGCUACCAGUUAUAAUUAUAAGUGAUCAAUAAUUUGUCAAAAGAAUAUGAAUAUUGUGGCUUACCAAAAAAGAAUAUGAAUAUU